RNAcentral lists this ribosomal RNA (606 nucleotides) under uncultured bacterium. RNAcentral describes it as "bacterial SSU rRNA". It matches the Rfam family "Bacterial small subunit ribosomal RNA", at positions 331 to 929 of the family's 1533-position model. The record is from RNAcentral.
CCAGACUCCUACGGGAGGCAGCAGUAGGGAAUCUUCGGCAAUGGACGAAAGUCUGACCGAGCAACGCCGCGUGAGUGAAGAAGGUUUCCGGAUCGUAAAGCUCUGUUGUAAGAGAAGAACGGGUGUGAGAGUGGAAAGUUCACACUGUGACGGUAUCUUACCAGAAAGGGACGGCUAACUACGUGCCAGCAGCCGCGGUAAUACGUAGGUCCCGAGCGUUGUCCGGAUUUAUUGGGCGUAAAGCGAGCGCAGGCGGUUAGAUAAGUCUGAAGUUAAAGGCUGUGGCUUAACCAUAGUACGCUUUGGAAACUGUUUAACUUGAGUGCAGAAGGGGAGAGUGGAAUUCCAUGUGUAGCGGUGAAUGCGUAGAUAUAUGGAGGAACACCGGUGGCGAAAGCGGCUCUCUGGUCUGUAACUGACGCUGAGGCUCGAAAGCGUGGGGAGCGAACAGGAUUAGAUACCCUGGUAGUCCACGCCGUAAACGAUGAGUGCUAGGUGUUAGGCCCUUUCCGGGGCUUAGUGCCGCAGCUAACGCAUUAAGCACUCCGCCUGGGGAGUACGACCGCAAGGUUGAAACUCAAAGGAAUUGACGGGGGCCCGCACAAG